AGAUUGAACGCUGGCGGCAUGCUUUACACAUGCAAGUCGAGCGGCAGCGCGGGGGCAACCUUGGCGGCGAGCGGCGGACGGGUGAGUAAUGCAUCGGAACGUAUCCCGUAGUGGGGGACAACCCAGCGAAAGCUGGGCUAAUACCGCAUAUGCUCUACGGAGGAAAGCAGGGGACCUGGAAACGGGCCUUGUGCUAUGGGAGCGGCCGAUGUCCGAUUAGCUAGGUUGGGUAGGGGUAAAGGCUUACCGAAGGCGACGAUCGGUAGCUGGUCUGAGAGGAUGAUCAGCCACACGUGGGACUGAGACACGGCCAGACCUCGUACGGGA
RNAcentral lists this ribosomal RNA (327 nucleotides) under uncultured soil bacterium. RNAcentral describes it as "bacterial SSU rRNA". It matches the Rfam family "Bacterial small subunit ribosomal RNA", at positions 26 to 346 of the family's 1533-position model. The record is from RNAcentral.